This 1124-nucleotide long non-coding RNA is filed under the name Olea europaea subsp. europaea. The record is from RNAcentral. Lineage: Eukaryota; Viridiplantae; Streptophyta; Magnoliopsida; Lamiales; Oleaceae.
UUUUCCCCCAAAUCUUGAAACUGUGAAAGCUAAAGGAGUGAAAGGCGAUUGGGGCGAUUGGCGAAGCUGAAGGAAGGGACUGGCGAUUGGGCGAAUGUGAGCGUGAGGAGAUGAGGAGGAGGAGUCGUGAUUGCAGCGAACUCAAUGAUGGAAAUAAGAAAGGUAGUAAUGGUUUAUUAUCGUCUUCUUCUAGAGAGCCAAUUUGUGAUGAAAUGCUGGAAGAUUGGCUUGAUCCUCACAUUUUGACUCAAAUUCCGGAUCUUGGAGGUGAUUGGCUUGCUAAUAUUUGAAUAUAUCUAUUUUCUUAGCCAAAUAUAUGUGAUAAAAAGAACUUAACUAAUUUCUAACAUGUUGUGUAGUUAAAUAAGUGUGUACCAGUGGAUAUUCUUUGAAGAAAAAUGAUGACUGUUUGUCUUUGCUUUUUCUUGAAUUAAUUUUUUUUCUUAUCUCUACCAAUUUUACCUCAAUAUUUCAAAAUUAUUUCUUGUUUUGACACGGUGAAAAGUUAAGUUCAAUUCGUAAAAGGAUUUUGACAGAGAAUUCUAUAUACAAGAAAUUUAUCAUUGGCCACAAGAAAAGUGCAUUUUAUGGGGAAAAAACAUGAAAAAAUUGUAUUUUGAUUCUUUACUGAAAUAAGAUGAAAGCUAUAAAUGAUGUGAGUGUUGCAAAGGUUGUAUCGUACAAUUUUUUUUUUUUUUUAGCAUUUUGGGUUUUAUUGAAUUAUAUUUUCAUAUAUAUAUAAUUUUUACGUUUUAGUGCAUAUAUAUAUAUAUAUAUAUAUAUAUAUAUAUAUAUAUAUAUAUAUAUAUAUAUAUAUAUAUAUUGAAUAAUUUAAUAUUAUUUAAUCAAAUUUUAAUAAACGAUCGGCUAUUAUGAUCGUUGAUUGUUGACGGUCAACGACCAUCCUAGGUCGACUUCGGUGCUGGAUUCGCAACUGCUUAUACCACUGUAGUUUUCUAUCAUAACAAAGGAAUUAUUUUAUUUUAUUUUUAUUAAGGGUUAGGUUCAACGCUGGGCAAUUAGGUCUCAAUCACUAGAAGUUCUGGCGUAAUUUUUUUUUUCUUUCAAUUUUAGGUUCAACGCUGGGCAAUUGGGUCUCAAUCACUAGAAGUACUGGUGUCCUG